CGGGGUUUCGCCAUGGUCUCGAUCUCCUGACCUCAUGAUCCACACGCCUCGGCCUCCCAAACUGCUGGGAUUACAGGCAUGAGCCACAGCGCCCGGCCUAGCAUUUGGUAAUAUCUUGAUGUUGCUAGUUUUGUUUUAGGAAUGUGUUUCCCUCAUGAAUUCCAGGAGCACAGGUGGUUGGAAGGGCUCUCUUGACAGUGAUUUUAUAGCUCACCAUCAGAUCACAGCAUAAGACUGAAGGCUUGACUCAUCUUUCUUCUCUUGUCCUUAGUUUGUCCAUUUGUAAAAGGAGAGAGAUUUUGCUGGAGGAUAUUUGAGGACUCUUUUAUCUCUAACAUCCCAUGAAUUGCAAACAUUAUUAACUACUGUUACCUUUCAUGACAGCAGUGCCGGCUCCGACUUCACCUUCUGCCAUGAGUAAGAGCUUCCUGAGGCCUCCCCAGAAGCAGAUGCCAGCACUGUUUCCUGUACAGCCUGCAGAACUACCCUGCACUUGAUGAAUCAGCUGGCACACCCAGAUCAAUAAACUGGCUCAUCUGAUCUUGUGGUCCCCACCCAGGAACUGACUCAGCACAAG
Molecule: long non-coding RNA, 577 nt
Filed under: Homo sapiens (human)
Lineage: Eukaryota; Metazoa; Chordata; Mammalia; Primates; Hominidae
Description: HSALNT0071661
Source: RNAcentral